UGAGGAAAACGUCGGAAUCUGCCUAUUUGUGGGGGAUAACGUAGGGAAACUUACGCUAAUACCGCAUACGACCUACGGGUGAAAGUGGGGGACCGCAAGGCCUCACGCAGAUAGAUGAGCCGACGUCGGAUUAGCUAGUUGGCGGGGUAAAGGCCCACCAAGGCGACGAUCCGUAGCUGGUCUGAGAGGAUGAUCAGCCACACUGGAACUGAGACACGGUCCAGACUCCUACGGGAGGCAGCAGUGGGGAAUAUUGGACAAUGGGCGCAAGCCUGAUCCAGCCAUGCCGCGUGUGUGAAGAAGGCCUUCGGGUUGUAAAGCACUUUUGUCCGGAAAGAAAAGCUUAGGGUUAAUAACCUUGAGUCAUGACGGUACCGGAAGAAUAAGCACCGGCUAACUUCGUGCCAGCAGCCGCGGUAAUACGAAGGGUGCAAGCGUUACUCGGAAUUACUGGGCGUAAAGCGUGCGUAGGUGGUUUUGUUAAGUCUGAUGUGAAAGCCCUGGG
This 505-nucleotide ribosomal RNA is filed under the name uncultured bacterium. Its description in RNAcentral is "bacterial SSU rRNA". It matches the Rfam family "Bacterial small subunit ribosomal RNA", at positions 107 to 607 of the family's 1533-position model. The record is from RNAcentral.